RNAcentral lists this ribosomal RNA (253 nucleotides) under uncultured bacterium. RNAcentral describes it as "partial 16S ribosomal RNA". It matches the Rfam family "Bacterial small subunit ribosomal RNA", at positions 524 to 776 of the family's 1533-position model. The record is from RNAcentral.
UACGUAGGUGGCGAGCGUUGUCCGGAUUUACUGGGCGUAAAGAGCGCGCAGGCGGUCGUGCAAGUCGCGUGUGAAAGCCCCCGGCUCAACUGGGGAGGGUCACGCGAUACUGUUCGACUCGAAGGCAGGAGAGGGAAGUGGAAUUCCCGGUGUAGUGGUGAAAUGCGUAGAUAUCGGGAGGAACACCAGUGGCGAAGGCGACUUCCUGGCCUGUUCUUGACGCUGAGGCGCGAAAGCUAGGGGAGCAAACGGG